Molecule: long non-coding RNA, 356 nt
Filed under: Pogona vitticeps (central bearded dragon)
Lineage: Eukaryota; Metazoa; Chordata; Lepidosauria; Squamata; Agamidae
Description: lncRNA (ENSPVIG00000001880.1)
Source: RNAcentral
UUAUUGGUAAGCAGCAUGUUUUGUCAUGAAACUGAGCUCCACAGUCAAUUUUUAAAAAUUAGGUUGUUUUCCUAAGUCUUCUCACUAAUCUUCUGCUCUUGUGGCAUUAUUCUCUCCUCUAGGUUUCUGGUAUCAAUUUAUCACUGCAGCUGAGAUCGGGGUCCAGGAAGUUAGGAUCCAGUGGCCAAAAGUUAAAAGAAGAGGCUUCGUAAGGGAAAAACACCACACAGAAAGAAACAUCUGCAUGUGAACUGAGCUUUAAGCGAAAGCUUCAGAAGGCAAGAAGGUACCAUUUUUGACCACUGUAGUAUGGGCCAUAAAGAUCCAGUUGCUAAAUUAGUGCUACAAAGGACAGC